GGGGUUGUAGCUCAGUGGGAGAGCCUCUGCUUCUCACGCAAAAGGUCCCAGGUUCAAUCCCUGGCAUCUCCA
This is a non-coding RNA of Euleptes europaea (tarantolino), 72 nucleotides long. The record is from the annotation of a RefSeq genome assembly. Lineage: Eukaryota; Metazoa; Chordata; Lepidosauria; Squamata; Sphaerodactylidae.